This is a non-coding RNA of Callorhinus ursinus (northern fur seal), 2171 nucleotides long. Lineage: Eukaryota; Metazoa; Chordata; Mammalia; Carnivora; Otariidae. The record is from RefSeq and is a predicted model, not a curated record.
UGCUGCGCGCGCCUCUGAACCUCCUGCGCCACUUUAGAUUUCGCCUGCUGUUUUCCUGGUGGCUUCCCCAAACCAAACCUGUGUGGCUGAGUACGGCAGCGCUUUGGGGACAAAAAUCUUUCUCUUCCCUGGGCUCGGCCUUGUACUUAAUCGUUCCGUGGUUGAAUCGGGCGGCAAGUAUUUGUGUCUCCAUUGCGCUGCUAUCCAGGAGGUAGGGGGAGGCUGAGCCCGGCGUUGAGUUCGGGCUGACUGGGGCUUGGGCCCAGCGAGUCGGUGCUGCUGCGCGGAUGUUGCGAUGGCUGAUCGGGGGAGGCCGAGAACCUCAGGGACUGGCGGAGAAAUCUCCUUUACAGACAAUAGGUGAAGAACAAACCCAGAAUCCCUACACUGAACUGCUUGUACUGAAAGCUCAUCAUGAUAUUGUACGAUUUCUGGUGCAGUUAGAUGAAUACAGAUUUGCGUCUGCUGGUGAUGACGGAAUUGUAGUUGUGUGGAAUGCCCAGACAGGAGAAAAACUUCUGGAACUUAAUGGACACACUCAAAAGAUAACAGCUCUUAUUACAUUUCCUUCCUUGGAAGCUUGUGAAGAAAAAAACCAACUGAUCUUGACAACCUCUGCUGAUAGAACAGUUAUUUUAUGGGAUUGUGAUACUGGCAGACAAGUUCGGAAAGUAUCCUGCUUCCAGUCUACUGUGAAGUGUUUAAUUGUUCUUCAGAGACUAAAUGUUUGGCUCUCUGGUGGGAAUGACCUAUGUGUGUGGAACCAAAAAUUAGAUCUCCUGUGUAAGACCAGUCACCUUUCUGAUACAGGGAUCAGUGCUUUGAUUGAAAUACCUAAGAACUGUGUUGUGGCAGCAGUUGGCAAAGAACUGAUAAUUUUCCGGCUGGUAGCACCCACAGAAGAAUCACUGGAAUGGAAUAUUCUUGAAAUUAAGCGCCUCCUUGAUCACCAGGAUAAUAUUCUCUCAUUGGUUAAUGUCAAUGAUGUGAGUUUUGUAACUGGCUCCCAUGUUGGAGAAAUGAUCAUCUGGGAUAUUCUGGACUGGACCGUGCAAGCCUGUGAAUGCAACUUCUGGGACCCAUCCCCACAGCUGGACACCCAGCAAGAAAUAAAACUCUGCCAAAAACCAAACGACAUUUCUAUUCAUCAUUUCACAUGGGAUGAAGAGAAUGUAUUUGCUGCAGUUGGAAGGGGUUUAUACGUGUAUAACCUUCACAUGAAGCGUGUGAUUGCUUGCCAGAAAAGUGCCCAUGACUCUAAUGUCCUGCACAUUGCCAAACUUCCGAACAGGCAGUUAAUCUCAUGCUCGGAAGACGGCAGUGUACGCAUUUGGGAGUUAAGAGAAAAACAGCAGCUUGCAGCUGAACCUGUACCAACAGGUUUUUUUAACAUGUGGGGAUUUGGAAGAGUGAACAAGCAAGCCAGCCAACCUGUUAAAAAGCAACAAGAAAAUGCUCCUCCAUGUUCAUUGGAGCUCAUUGGAGAUUUGAUUGGACACUCCUCAUCUGUGGAGAUGUUUCUGUACUUUGAAGAUCAUGGACUAGUGACAUGCUCUGCUGACCAUCUCAUUAUUUUGUGGAAAAACGGAGAAAGAGAAUCUGGAUUGCGCAGUUUAAAAUUAUUUCAAAAGUUAGAGGAGAAUGGUGACUUAUAUCUUGCGGUCUAGUUGAAGGAAUUUGGAGCACAUGUGCAUGAACCUUGAACAUCAAAUACAGGGGGAAAUGCUUACCUCAGCUGCCAUUGGCUUAUUGAUGCUGUUCACAAAUUUGUUCACAUGUUCAAAGUGUUUGGUCAUCUCUGUUGCUAAAACCAUGUCAAUAAUAGCCUGGCGCAGUGUUCGGUAAUGGGUCCUAAAAUAACCAGAAGACAAAGAGCUUUGUUCAUAUCAUGGCCAAAAUGAGAACUGUUCUACCAUUUCACCACACUUCCACAGUGUGGGAGGAAGCUGGGGGCAUGGAGUUGAGAACUGAGUGCAGAUCAUCAAGUUUACCUGCUCCUCUUCCCGAAGUUAACCCAGCGCUGGGCAACCCUGAUUGCAGAGUGGAGGAGGGAGCUGCCACUCACCUUUGUGAUGGGAGCCUCUAUGGUCAUGGAAUGGAUCCUUGCCAUGGAUGGAUAGCGACGAUUCUGUAGGCUUGGUGCUGAAGAGAAUAAAGGAAGUUGUAUCUGG